GGCGGACGGGUGAGUAACACGUGGGAACGUGCCUUUAGGUUCGGAAUAAGCCCGGGAAACUGGGUCUAAUACCGAAUGUGCCCUUCGGGGGAAAGAUUUAUCGCCUUUAGAGCGGCCCGCGUCUGAUUAGCUAGUUGGUGGUGUAAUGGACCACCAAGGCGACGAUCAGUAGCUGGUCUGAGAGGAUGACCAGCCACAUUGGGACUGAGACACGGCCCAAACUCCUACGGGAGGCAGCAGUGGGGAAUCUUGCGCAAUGGGCGAAAGCCUGACGCAGCCAUGCCGCGUGUAUGAUGAAGGUCUUAGGAUUGUAAAAUACUUUCACCGGUGAAGAUAAUGACUGUAGCCGGAGAAGAAGCCCCGGCUAACUUCGUGCCAGCAGCCGCGGUAAUACGAAGGGGGCUAGCGUUGCUCGGAAUUACUGGGCGUAAAGGGAGCGUAGGCGGACAUUUAAGUCAGGGGUGAAAUCCCAGAGCUCAACUCUGGAACUGCCUUUGAUACUGGAUGUCUUGAGUGUGAGAGAGGUAUGUGGAACUCCGAGUGUAGAGGUGAAAUUCGUAGAUAUUCGGAAGAACACCAGUGGCGAAGGCGACAUACUGGCUCAUUACUGACGCUGAGGCUCGAAAGCGUGGGGAGCAAACAGGAUUAGAUACCCUGGUAGUCCACGCCGUAAACGAUGAUUGCUAGUUGUCGGGAUGCAUGCAUUUCGGUGACGCAGCUAACGCAUUAAGCAAUCCGCCUGGGGAGUACGGUCGCAAGAUU
RNAcentral lists this ribosomal RNA (762 nucleotides) under Brevundimonas variabilis. Its description in RNAcentral is "bacterial SSU rRNA". It matches the Rfam family "Bacterial small subunit ribosomal RNA", at positions 97 to 895 of the family's 1533-position model. The record is from RNAcentral. Lineage: Bacteria; Pseudomonadati; Pseudomonadota; Alphaproteobacteria; Caulobacterales; Caulobacteraceae.